GUACUGAUGAAGAGUCCCAAACUAAGACGAAACAGCUGUCCAGUAU
Non-coding RNA from Trichobilharzia regenti, 46 nucleotides. The record is from Rfam. Lineage: Eukaryota; Metazoa; Platyhelminthes; Trematoda; Strigeidida; Schistosomatidae.